GGAGUCGGCCAGACAGUCGCGUCAUCGGGUAACCGGUGCCGAGGAAAGUCCGGGCUCCAUAGGGUACGGUGCUAGGUAACGCCUAGGCGGCGCAAGCCGACGGAAAGUGCAACAGAAAGAUACCGCCGAUGUCAGAGCAAUCUGGCAGGCAAGGGUGAAAUGGUGCGGUAAGAGCGCACCGCGAGUCUGGCAACAGACCGGCACGGCAAACCCCACCGGGAGCAAGACCAAAUAGGGAGGCGGUGAUGCGACCCGCAGAGCCUCCGGGUAGGUUGCUUGAGCGUAUGGGUGACCAUGCGCCUAGAGGAAUGACUGUCCUAGACAGAACCCGGCUUAUCGGCCGGCUCCGCCG
This 352-nucleotide RNase P RNA is filed under the name Thermomonas sp. RNAcentral's name for it is "RNase P RNA component class A". It matches the Rfam family "Bacterial RNase P class A". From Rfam's summary of the family: Ribonuclease P (RNase P) is a ubiquitous endoribonuclease, found in archaea, bacteria and eukarya as well as chloroplasts and mitochondria. Its best characterised activity is the generation of mature 5'-ends of tRNAs by cleaving the 5'-leader elements of precursor-tRNAs. The record is from RNAcentral. Lineage: Bacteria; Pseudomonadati; Pseudomonadota; Gammaproteobacteria; Lysobacterales; Lysobacteraceae.